Molecule: transfer RNA, 61 nt
Filed under: Fascioloides magna
Lineage: Eukaryota; Metazoa; Platyhelminthes; Trematoda; Plagiorchiida; Fasciolidae
Description: tRNA-Ser
Source: RNAcentral
CGUGUAAGGGUUUCCGCGUGUGAUUUGAAGUCAUUCGUUUCAUAUUUGGUUAUGGUGCUCG